UGCAGAAUCCCGUGAACCAUUGAGUCUUUGAACGCAAGUUGCGCCCGAAGCCGCUAGGCCGACGGCACGCCUGCCUGGGCGUCA
This 84-nucleotide ribosomal RNA is filed under the name Crataegus rivularis. Its description in RNAcentral is "partial 5.8S ribosomal RNA". It matches the Rfam family "5.8S ribosomal RNA", at positions 73 to 154 of the family's 154-position model. From Rfam's summary of the family: 5.8S ribosomal RNA (5.8S rRNA) is a component of the large subunit of the eukaryotic ribosome. It is transcribed by RNA polymerase I as part of the 45S precursor that also contains 18S and 28S rRNA. Lineage: Eukaryota; Viridiplantae; Streptophyta; Magnoliopsida; Rosales; Rosaceae. The record is from RNAcentral.